This 371-nucleotide ribosomal RNA is filed under the name uncultured organism. Its description in RNAcentral is "bacterial SSU rRNA". It matches the Rfam family "Bacterial small subunit ribosomal RNA", at positions 526 to 896 of the family's 1533-position model. The record is from RNAcentral.
CGUAGGGUGCGAGCGUUAAUCGGAAUUACUGGGCGUAAAGCGUGCGCGAGGCGGUUUUGUAAGACAGAUGUGAAAUCCCCGGGCUCAACCUGGGACCUGCAUUUGUGACUGCAAGGCUAGAGUACGGUAGAGGGGGAUGGAAUUCCGCGUGUAGCAGUGAAAUGCGUAGAUAUGCGGAGGAACACCGAUGGCGAAGGCAAUCCCCUGGACCUGUACUGACGCUCAUGCACGAAAGCGUGGGGAGCAAACAGGAUUAGAUACCCUGGUAGUCCACGCCCUAAACGAUGUCAACUGGUUGUUGGGUCUUUACUGACUCAGUAACGAAGCUAACGCGUGAAGUUGACCGCCUGGGGAGUACGGCCGCAAGGUUG